This 2642-nucleotide ribosomal RNA is filed under the name Enterobacter roggenkampii. RNAcentral describes it as "partial 23S ribosomal RNA". The record is from RNAcentral. Lineage: Bacteria; Pseudomonadati; Pseudomonadota; Gammaproteobacteria; Enterobacterales; Enterobacteriaceae.
AUGAAGGACGUGCUAAUCUGCGAAAAGCGCCGGCGAGGUGAUAUGAACCUUUGACCCGGCGAUGUCCGAAUGGGGAAACCCAGUGUGAUUCGUCACACUAUCGUUAACUGAAUACAUAGGUUAACGAGGCGAACCGGGGGAACUGAAACAUCUAAGUACCCCGAGGAAAAGAAAUCAACCGAGAUUCCCCCAGUAGCGGCGAGCGAACGGGGAGCAGCCCAGAGUCUGAAUCAGCUUGUGUGUUAGUGGAAGCGUCUGGAAAGUCGCACGGUACAGGGUGACAGUCCCGUACACGAAAAYRCACAGGYUGUGAACUCGAAGAGUAGGGCGGGACACGUGGUAUCCUGUCUGAAUAUGGGGGGACCAUCCUCCAAGGCUAAAUACUCCUGACUGACCGAUAGUGAACCAGUACCGUGAGGGAAAGGCGAAAAGAACCCCGGCGAGGGGAGUGAAAAAGAACCUGAAACCGUGUACGUACAAGCAGUGGGAGCACCYUYGUGGUGUGACUGCGUACCUUUUGUAUAAUGGGUCAGCGACUUAUAUUCUGUAGCAAGGUUAACCGUAUAGGGGAGCCGAAGGGAAACCGAGUCUUAACUGGGCGUUAAGUUGCAGGGUAUAGACCCGAAACCCGGUGAUCUAGCCAUGGGCAGGUUGAAGGUUGGGUAACACUAACUGGAGGACCGAACCGACUAAUGUUGAAAAAUUAGCGGAUGACUUGUGGCUGGGGGUGAAAGGCCAAUCAAACCGGGAGAUAGCUGGUUCUCCCCGAAAGCUAUUUAGGUAGCGCCUCGUGAAYUCAUCUUCGGGGGUAGAGCACUGUUUCGGCUAGGGGGCCAUCCCGGCUUACCAACCCGAUGCAAACUACGAAUACCGAAGAAUGUUAUCACGGGAGACACACGGCGGGUGCUAACGUCCGUCGUGAAGAGGGAAACAACCCAGACCGCCAGCUAAGGUCCCAAAGUCAUGGUUAAGUGGGAAACGAUGUGGGAAGGCACAGACAGCCAGGAUGUUGGCUUAGAAGCAGCCAUCAUUUAAAGAAAGCGUAAUAGCUCACUGGUCGAGUCGGCCUGCGCGGAAGAUGUAACGGGGCUAAACCAUGCACCGAAGCUGCGGCAGCGACACUAUGUGUUGUUGGGUAGGGGAGCGUUCUGUAAGCCGUUGAAGGUGUGCUGUGAGGCAUGCUGGAGGUAUCAGAAGUGCGAAUGCUGACAUAAGUAACGAUAAAGCGGGUGAAAAGCCCGCUCGCCGGAAGACCAAGGGUUCCUGUCCAACGUUAAUCGGGGCAGGGUGAGUCGACCCCUAAGGCGAGGCCGAAAGGCGUAGUCGAUGGGAAACAGGUUAAUAUUCCUGUACUUGGUGUUACUGCGAAGGGGGGACGGAGAAGGCUAUGUUAGCCGGGCGACGGUUGUCCCGGUUUAAGCAUGUAGGCGGAGGUUCCAGGUAAAUCCGGUACCUUUUAACGCUGAGGUGUGAUGACGAGGCACUACGGUGCUGAAGUAACAAAUGCCCUGCUUCCAGGAAAAGCCUCUAAGCAUCAGGUAACAYSAAAUCGUACCCCAAACCGACACAGGUGGUCAGGUAGAGAAUACCAAGGCGCUUGAGAGAACUCGGGUGAAGGAACUAGGCAAAAUGGUGCCGUAACUUCGGGAGAAGGCACGCUGAUAUGUAGGUGAAGCCCCUGCGGGUGGAGCUGAAAUCAGUCGAAGAUACCAGCUGGCUGCAACUGUUUAUUAAAAACACAGCACUGUGCAAACACGAAAGUGGACGUAUACGGUGUGACGCCUGCCCGGUGCCGGAAGGUUAAUUGAUGGGGUUAGCGGCAACGCGAAGCUCUUGAUCGAAGCCCCGGUAAACGGCGGCCGUAACUAUAACGGUCCUAAGGUAGCGAAAUUCCUUGUCGGGUAAGUUCCGACCUGCACGAAUGGCGUAAUGAUGGCCAGGCUGUCUCCACCCGAGACUCAGUGAAAUUGAACUCGCUGUGAAGAUGCAGUGUACCCGCGGCAAGACGGAAAGACCCCGUGAACCUUUACUAUAGCUUGACACUGAACACUGGUCCUUGAUGUGUAGGAUAGGUGGGAGGCUUUGAAGCGUGGACGCCAGUCUGCGUGGAGCCGUCCUUGAAAUACCACCCUUUAAUGGCUGGUGUUCUAACGUAGACCCGUAAUCCGGGUUGCGGACAGUGUCUGGUGGGUAGUUUGACUGGGGCGGUCUCCUCCCAAAGAGUAACGGAGGAGCACGAAGGUUAGCUAAUCCUGGUCGGACAUCAGGAGGUUAGUGCAAUGGCAUAAGCUAGCUUGACUGCGAGAGUGACGGCUCGAGCAGGUGCGAAAGCAGGUCAUAGUGAUCCGGUGGUUCUGAAUGGAAGGGCCAUCGCUCAACGGAUAAAAGGUACUCCGGGGAUAACAGGCUGAUACCGCCCAAGAGUUCAUAUCGACGGCGGUGUUUGGCACCUCGAUGUCGGCUCAUCACAUCCUGGGGCUGAAGUAGGUCCCAAGGGUAUGGCUGUUCGCCAUUUAAAGUGGUACGCGAGCUGGGUUUAGAACGUCGUGAGACAGUUCGGUCCCUAUCUGCCGUGGGCGCUGGAGAAUUGAGGGGGGCUGCUCCUAGUACGAGAGGACCGGAGUGGACGCAUCACUGGUGUU